This 465-nucleotide ribosomal RNA is filed under the name uncultured bacterium. Its description in RNAcentral is "partial 16S ribosomal RNA". It matches the Rfam family "Bacterial small subunit ribosomal RNA", at positions 354 to 827 of the family's 1533-position model. The record is from RNAcentral.
UGGGGGAAUAUUGCACAAUGGGCGCAAGCCUGAUGCAGCAACGCCGCGUGAGGGAUGACGGCCUUCGGGUUGUAAACCUCUUUUAGCAGGGAAGAAGCGAAAGUGACGGUACCUGCAGAAAAAGCACCGGCUAACUACGUGCCAGCAGCCGCGGUAAUACGUAGGGUGCAAGCGUUGUCCGGAAUUAUUGGGGCGUAAAGAGCUCGUAGGCGGUUCUGUCGCGUCUGCUGUGAAAUUCCCGAGGCUCAACCUCGGGCCUGCAGUGGGUACGGGCAGACUAGAGUGCGGUAGGGGAGAAUGGAAGCUCCUGGUGUAGCGGUGGAAUGCGCAGAUAUCAGGAAGAACACCGAUGGCGAAGGCAGUUCUCUGGGCCGUAACUGACGCUGAGGAGCGAAAGCGUGGGGAGCGAACAGGAUUAGAUACCCUGGUAGUCCACGCCGUAAACGUUGGGCGCUAGAUGUGGGG